This 984-nucleotide ribosomal RNA is filed under the name uncultured Chloroflexota bacterium. RNAcentral describes it as "bacterial SSU rRNA". It matches the Rfam family "Bacterial small subunit ribosomal RNA", at positions 509 to 1504 of the family's 1533-position model. Lineage: Bacteria; Bacillati; Chloroflexota. The record is from RNAcentral.
CAGCCGCCGCGGUAAUACGUAGGUGGCGAGCGUUAUCCGGAAUUAUUGGGCGUAAAGGGCCCGCAAGCGGCACAUUAAGUCAGAUGUGAAAUCUCCCGGCUCAACUGGGAGGGGACAUUUGAAACUGGUGAACUUGAGGACAGCAGGGGGAAUCGGAACUCCCGGUGUAGCGGUGAUAUGCGUAGAUAUCGGGAGGAACACCAGUGGCGAAGGCGGCUUUCUGGGCUGUUUCUGACGCUGAGGGGCGAAAGCGUGGGGAGCAAACCGGAUUAGAUACCCUGGUAGUCCACACCGUAAACGAUGGAUACUAGGUAUGGGGGGUAUCGACCCCUUCCGUGCCGAAGCUAACGCCAUAAGUAUCCCGCCUGGGGACUACGGCCGCAAGGCUAAAACUCAAAGGAAUUGACGGGGGCCCGCACAAGCAGCGGAGCGUGUGGUUUAAUUCGACGAUACGCGAAGAACCUUACCAAGACUUGACAUCGUAAUGCAUAGCAUGAGAAACCAGGUGUCCCUUCGGGGCGUUAUGACAGAUGCUGCAUGGCUGUCGUCAGCUCGUGCCGUGAGGUGUUGGGUUAAGUCCCGCAACGAGCGCAACCCUUGUCGCUAGUUAAUUUCUCUAGCGAGACUGCCCCGCUAAACGGGGAGGAAGGUGGGGAUGACGUCAAGUCAGCACGGCUCUUACGUCUUGGGCUACACACACGCUACAAUGGGUGGUACAGAGGGUUGCGAAGGAGCGAUGUGGAGCUAAUCCCACAAAGCCAUCCUCAGUUCGGAUUGCAGGCUGCAACUCGCCUGCAUGAAGUCGGAGUUGCUAGUAAACGCAGGUCAGCAAUACUGCGUUGAAUACGUUCUCGGGCCUUGUACACACCGCCCGUCACGUCAUGAAAGUUGGAAACACCUGAAGUCGAUGGGCUAACCCGUAAGGGAGGCAGUCGCCCAAGGUGGGGCUAGCGAUUGGGAUGAAGUCGUAACAAGGUAACCGUA